CACCUGUGUUGCCACCAACCAGGAUGGCAGCUUGAUCCUAACUGGCUCUGUGGACUGCCAGGCCAAGCUGGUCAGUGCCACUACUGGCAAGGUGAGUGGACCUGGAGCCCGGCUGGGUCCUCCGCUUUCCCGACUCCUCUCCUUCCUUCCUGGGUCUUCACUGUCUCCUCUCCCCACCAUCUUUCUCUCCAUCAAGCACCCGGAUUCCGGGUCCUCCUCUGAUCCUCUCUGGCUUUCAGGUGGUGGGUGUUUUUAGACCUGAGACUGUGGCCUCCCAGCCCAGCCUGGGAGAAGGGGAGGAGAGUGAGUCCAACUCGGUGGAGUCCUUGGGCUUCUGCAGUGUGUGAGUGAGGAUGGGGAGAGGGGUUUGUGGGAGGGGCCUGGGCUGGGGGCCCGGGGGGAGGGCAGGGCGUGUGAGUCCAGGCCCUCAUGAGUCUUCAUGGUACGCUUCUCUGCCCAGGAUGCCCCUGGCAGCUGUUGGCUACCUGGAUGGGACCUUGGCCAUCUAUGACCUGGCUACGCAGACUCUUAGGCAUCAGUGUCAGCACCAGUCGGGCAUCGUGCAGCUGCUGUGGGAGGCAGGCACUGCCGUGGUAUAUACCUGCAGCCUGGAUGGCAUCGUGCGCCUCUGGGAUGCCCGGACCGGCCGCCUGCUUACUGACUACCGGGGCCACACGGCCGAGAUCCUGGACUUUGCCCUCAGCAAAGAUGCCUCCCUGGUGGUGACCACGUCAGGAGACCACAAAGCGAAAGUAUUUUGUGUCCAAAGGCCUGACCGUUAAUGGCUGCAGCCCCUGCCUGUGUGUCUGGUGUUGAGGGGACGAAGGGACCCCUGCCCCUGUCUGCCAGCAGAGGCAGUAGGGCACAGAGGGAAGAGGAGGGUGGGGCCCUGGAUGACUUUCCAGCCUCUUCAACUGACUUGCUCCUCUCUCCUUUUCUUGUCUUUAGAGACCCAGCCCAGGGCCCUCCCACCCUUGCCCAGACCUGGUGGGCCCUUCAGAGGGAGGGGUGGACCUGUUUCUCUUUCACUUUCAUUUGCUGGUGUGAGCCAUGGGGUGUGUAUUUGUAUGUGGGGAGUAGGUGUUUGAGGUUCCCGUUCUUUCCCUUCCCAAGUCUCUGGGGGUGGAAAGGAGG
This 1134-nucleotide small RNA is filed under the name Pongo abelii (Sumatran orangutan). Its description in RNAcentral is "retained intron". Lineage: Eukaryota; Metazoa; Chordata; Mammalia; Primates; Hominidae. The record is from RNAcentral.